ACUUAGCUCUGGAUACUCAGAAUUUCUCUAAUUAUGAAGCACCUGUGUCUUAAAGCAUCCUGCUCCAAAAAGCCCCAUGAGACUCUGCAGAGAAGGCAAAUUCAAGAAGCAUCUUCCAAAGGCGGGGGAAGAAGAGGCGUAACAUGUGGCUAGUCUCCCAUGCAGAGCCGCAUGAGAAAGGAACACAUCAUUGGUGACAAGUGGGCUGUCCUAUUUCCCUCUCCCCUGGCUCUCAUUCCCCAUCAUUCCUGACCAUUUGUGUUAACCUCCUCUCUUCUUUGUGUUCUGAUGCUUUGACAUCUGGGACCUCGCCGGUCUGGAGAGACUGCCUCUCCUGGAGUUAGCCCAUUCCUAGAGAGAGGGUACUUGCAGAUGCAGACUAACCCAUUCAGAGCCUAUAUCCCCAGCCACCAUCUUUACUGGGCUCUUACACUCUGGUCCACCAUCUACCUGCCCUAAUGACCCCAGGACCAGGUACAAGACGACUAGGUCAGCCCUUUAUGCCCCCAGAAUUCGCUUAUUCAAACUAGCCAAUCCUAAGCCUGAUUCCUGCCUUGCCUGGUCCUUCCCGCAGAAACCAAAACAAAGGCUUCGCCAUAGUUCCCCUUUGCCGUCUGCCUCCUAACCAACCCUGACGCUUCCCUAUGCACACCCCCCACAGUGUGGUGGGCCCCCUCCUCCUGGGAUCUGUGUGUACUAAAAGCUACCUUUUCAAUGGCAAUCAACUCCUGACAUGUGGGCCUCACCAUAGCUGCCUGAUAAUAAGACCUAUAUUUUGAAACACCACUAUUAGCUUUGGCAGGCUUUUUUUUGUAACUUUGGCCACAACAUGGUAGGUCUUGGUAUGACAGCAAUACUUUCAUGCGAUGAACUGUCUUGAUUUUUUUAAAAACAUGGUUAACUUUUUUCUAAUGCCUUUACAAUGGAUUGCUUAGUAAAGACACACUGUUUAAAUAAAGCAAGCUUUGGAUCCAUACUCUCCUAGGCAACAAAUUCAGCUGUUGCAGUGGCUUUCAGAUUCCUACAACAUUUCUUCAGGGAGGAGGAAGGGAGAGAGUUUCGGAAGUUUGAGGCCUGAAUUUUAGUGUUUGCAAAGCAACUCAGUUAGCUAGGAAAGGCGGUUCCUUCUCUAAGGCUCCAUCUGAAAAAAAAAAAAGCAAAAAUGGAGGUUGGACAAACCCUCUCCGAGGUCAGUUCCUGAAUAAAGGGACCAGCUGGGAUGAGAAGCCAGCCUUCCAAUGGAGAGAGGAAGACGGAGAACACGUCCUAGCAGCAGAGGGCAGCUCUACCUUAAAGCAGAGAAAGAAUGCGGAAAACCAAUCACGUGACAACCUGGCCUACCAGACACCCACAACAAGCUGAGGAGGUGCUGCAGAGCUGUGCUGUUUUCUGCAAAAACAAAAUUAAGCCUGGAAAAUCAAGAGAAAGAAAGGGAGGAAUAAAGUGGGGACCCUUCCAGAGUCUGGGGUUCAGCCUGUAGACCAAUGGUCUAUUCCUGGGAUGUACCUUUGGGGCAGGAGCCAGUGCCUCUUAAAGAUGAUUCCUCCGAAAUGAACCGAAACAGACGGCAGUGCUGACAGCUGUUGUGGAAAGUAUUAGCAAAACAUUACAUUUCAAAAAGGAAUACAGCACAUAUUUGAGACGGACUUUGGGUAGGAGUUAGACAAAGCUAGAUGUUUUUAAGGAGGACUUUUAGGAGGAGGGGUCCAUUGAUGUAAAAAUAUGGAGGCUAAGGAUGGAAGGACAUUUCAGGUCCUAACACGAGGUCCAGUUUUCCUAGAAUAUUAAAUACUAAGUACAUCUAGAAGAGCAGUGGGGAUGGAUGAGCCCUAGAGAGUAGAAUGGGGAGACUAAAUUCCUUCUCUCCAGCCCCGGCUCCGAGGGAGCAAGCUGCCGAGAAUCACGAAUCCUGCAGCCUAGAAGGAAACCGUGUCUACUAACACUGCAGGGAGUGGGUGUGGACACCUCCGCAUUGAUCCCGGGGUAAGAACUCAGUCGUGUAGCUGGAGUGCAGCCUGGUGAAACCCUGAGCCGAAGACCAGCUGAGCCAUGCUGGACUCCGAACCCUGGACUCAUAGAAAUGGUAAGAUAACAAACAAGUGUUGUUUUCAGCCACUAAGAUGUGGUAAUUUGUUACGCAGCAAUAGGUCACUAAUGCAGAUGGUGGUGGAUGGCCUGUAUCUAAUUACACAGGCAAUGGGGAGCCAUUAGAAGUGUUUGAGCUGGGACGUGUAACAAGGGCUAUUUCAAAUGUGCUUAGCCCUUAUCAUCCACUAUUUUUUCUCUUAGUCAGGUGUUCAGUUCAAGGCAUAUUAUCAGCAAGUUUCCACUAUGAAAAAAGGACAUCCCUUUAGAAAUUGAAAAAAGGAAGCAACUUUUUGGUUUUUGUUCUUGUUGUUAAGAGGUAGUCUUUCUAUUUCUCGUAUUCUUUAUAUAUCAAGUUAUAUUUAUUAUACAUUAUGGUUUGUUAUUUGUUUAGGUUUUCAUCUUCUGAUGUUUAUUCUGGGGUUAAGGUUUUAUUACCUUAUUUCUCUCUUUGGAACUUUUGAAACUAUGAAAAGAAUGUUGGACCAGAAUCACAUGAUUCCUCAAGUCAUCUUCUUGUUUUAUGGAAGACAAGUAAAUUCGGGGGUCAGAGCCUGGCCUCUUGCCACCGUGAGGGAACUUUACUAAAGCAGCGGGUCAUACAAACAGUAUCUUUCUUUCAGCCCCUUAAGACCGUGAAGGAAUGUACCCCUCACUUCCAACCCCACACAGACACUCACCACGUAAAACCACCUCCAUCCUCCUCCUCUGCCGAGGUACCCAUAAUGCACCUUGUGACUUUUGUGAACCCCAGUGGCAAGACUGAGGACAGCACAGGAUGCUUAGGUCCGAAGCAAACAGGAGGAAAUUGUUCCAGCAUCGCUCUCAACUUCUGCACCCCACCUUGCGGUAUUCACUGUGUGAAUGGAACAUGAAUCACUCUUCUAAGCUGUUGAAGUUCAGAGAUUCAAAUGCUUUGGUGCUGAAAGAACGAUUGUUUGGGUUUUGUGCAGCAGUCAAUGCCGACGGCAUUCACUUCAUCUAACACUUCAAAACAUAACUUGUUGCCAGAGAUCCCUUCCCCCCCCUGCUCUGUUAGGAUUCCUUCUCUUUCUAGCCUCCUCAGGGAACGUCAGACUAUUGCGAGCUAUUGAAAGUUGUUCCCCUAGUCUGCUAAGAGUCUUUGGUCCCUUCUCCCUUUCAGCAAGCACACCGCGCCAUACUCUUAUUUUAUUUGUCCUGCUUCUGCGUUGGCAUUAAAAUGCC
RNAcentral lists this long non-coding RNA (3291 nucleotides) under Sus scrofa (pig). RNAcentral describes it as "lncRNA (ENSSSCG00000058950.1)". The record is from RNAcentral. Lineage: Eukaryota; Metazoa; Chordata; Mammalia; Artiodactyla; Suidae.